UGGGCUCCAUUUCAGAUACAGAUAUGCUGGAUUGAUUGGGGAGGCGGAUAUUGUAACAGGACUGGGCUCAGCUUCUAAGGGCAGCAAGCUAGUGGAAAGCCAAAGAUAGAAUCUCCGUGGUGCAACCUCAAUAGGAAAACAUCUCACAG
Molecule: long non-coding RNA, 149 nt
Organism: Archocentrus centrarchus (flier cichlid)
Lineage: Eukaryota; Metazoa; Chordata; Actinopteri; Cichliformes; Cichlidae
Exons: 3
Source: RefSeq, a predicted model, not a curated record